GAUGAACGCUGGCGGCGUGCUUAACACAUGCAAGUCGAGCGAGAAGUUUUGAAAAGAUUCUUCGGAUGAAAUUUAAAAUGGAAAGCGGCGGACGGGUGAGUAACGCGUAGGCAACCUGCCCCAUACAAAGGGAUAGCAUUUGGAAACGAAAAUUAAUACCUUAUGAAACUUAACUAGUGCAUGCUAGGUAGGUCAAAGAUUUAUCGGUAUGGGAUGGGCCUGCGUCUGAUUAGCUAGUUGGUGAGGUAACGGCUCACCAAGGCGACGAUCAGUAGCCGACCUGAGAGGGUGAACGGCCACAUUGGAACUGAGACACGGUCCAAACUCCUACGGGAGGCAGCAGUGGGGAAGAUUGCACAAUGGGGGAAACCCUGAUGCAGCAACGCCGCGUGAACGAUGAAGGCCUUUGGGUCGUAAAGUUCUGUUCUAGGUGAUGAAAACUGACAGUAGCCUAGGAGAAAGCCCCGGCUAACUCCGUG
RNAcentral lists this ribosomal RNA (479 nucleotides) under uncultured bacterium. Its description in RNAcentral is "partial 16S ribosomal RNA". It matches the Rfam family "Bacterial small subunit ribosomal RNA", at positions 28 to 507 of the family's 1533-position model. The record is from RNAcentral.